UUUUUGGGCUUGGUAAUUGGAAUGAGGGAGAGUUAAACGGACCAUCGAGUAUCCAUUGGAGGGCAAGUCUGGUGCCAGCAGCUGCGGUAAUACCAGCUCCAAUAGCGUAUAUAAAAGUUGUUGCAGUUAAAAAGCUCGUAGUUGGACUUGUGUGCGCUGUCCGCGGGUGGCCUGCGCCCAAAAGGGCGUUUCGGUUCGGCCCCGGUGGCGCCUUGAAAUCUGCAGCUGGGGGGACGUUGGCCUUAACUGGUCGGCGACCGCACGCCGGCUGCUCGGUUACUGUGAGAAAAUUAGAGUGUUCAAGGCAGGCAUUGGGUGCAAUUGAAUACAUUAGCAUGGAAUAAUAAAAUAUGGCUCCUGCCGUAUUUUGUUGGUUUUGACUGGUGGGAGUAAUGAUUGAUAGGGACGGUUGGGGGUGCUAGUAUUGAGCGGCCAGAGGUGAAAUUCAUGGAUUCGCUCAAGACUAACUUAUGCGAAAGCAUCCACCAAGGACGUCCUCUUUAAUCAAGAACGAAAGAUGGGGGAUCGAAGACGAUCAGAUACCGUCGUAGUCUCAACCAUAAACUAUGUCGACUUGGGAUCGGCGGUAGUUUUUUCAUUAAGACACUGUCGGGACCACGGGAGAAAUCAAAGUGUCUGGACUCUGGGGGAAGUAUGGUCGCAAGGCUGAAACUUGAAGGAAUUGACGGAAGGGCACCACCAGGAGUGGAGCCUGCGGCUUAAUUUGACCCAACACGGGGAAACUUACCAGGUCCAGAGAUGUAGAGGAUUGACAGAUUGAAGCUCUUUCUUGAUCACUUCGGUGGUGGUGCAUGGCCGUUCUUAGUUGGUGGAGUGAUUUGUCUGGUUAAUUCCGUUAACGAACGAGACCUCAGCCUGCUAGUGUAGUCGGCUGGAUUGCCUUUGGCGAUCCGUGAUUUCGACUUCUUAGAGGGACAAUCGACGCGCAGUCGAUGGAAGUUUGAGGCAAUAACAGGUCUGUGAUGCCCUUAGAUGUUCUGGGCCGCACGCGCGCUACACUGCUGGGCUCAGCGAGUUUUACUUGGCCGAGAGGCCCGGUUAAUCUUGUGAAAUCCCAGCUGCUUGGGCUCGCCUCCUGCAACUGGAGGCGCCAACGAGGAAUUCCUAGUAGACGCAGGUCAUCAACCUGCAUCGAUUACGUCCCUGCCCUUUGUACACACCGCCCGUCGUUCCAUAAGAGUGAGGCAUCCGGUGAAUUCUCGGGAGAGCCUGGGCGUGGCCAGCAAUGGUCUGCUCGGGUUUGAACUUGCAUAAACUUGGUGCCUAUGAUUAGGG
RNAcentral lists this ribosomal RNA (1296 nucleotides) under metagenome. RNAcentral describes it as "SSU rRNA". It matches the Rfam family "Eukaryotic small subunit ribosomal RNA", at positions 493 to 1783 of the family's 1831-position model. The record is from RNAcentral.